RNAcentral lists this ribosomal RNA (618 nucleotides) under Malassezia sympodialis. RNAcentral's name for it is "eukaryotic LSU rRNA". The stretch from base 184 to 337 matches the Rfam family "5.8S ribosomal RNA". Lineage: Eukaryota; Fungi; Basidiomycota; Malasseziomycetes; Malasseziales; Malasseziaceae. The record is from RNAcentral.
AACCUGCAGAAGGAUCAUUAGUGAAAGUUUCGGGCCUGCCAUACGGACGCAAACACGUCUCUGGCGCCCAUCACUAUAUCCAUACCAACCCCUGUGCACUGUGAUGACGAAUGUCAUCGAACAAAAAAAACUCGUAUGGUUGAAUGUACGUGAAAUUGUAGGUAUAGCCUACGAACUAUACACAACUUUCGACAACGGAUCUCUUGGUUCUCCCAUCGAUGAAGAACGCAGCGAAACGCGAUAGGUAAUGUGAAUUGCAGAAUUCCGUGAAUCAUCGAAUCUUUGAACGCACCUUGCGCUCCAUGGUAUUCCGUGGAGCAUGCCUGUUUGAGUGCCGCGAAUUCUCCCUCCCCUUACGGUGGCCGAAAGGCCGAAGUAGGGCGGACGGGGUAGGAUGGGUGUUGCUGCCUGGGGAUUGUACCAGGCUCGCCCGAAAUGCAUAAGCGCCAGGACCCUCGCUACCGCUCUCUAGGGAAGAGUGGCUAAGCGACCGCUGAGCAUGGCAUGAUACGUCAUUUGCUGUGUGUGGGCGGCCGGUUGGAGAGGUGUCUGCUUUACCAGCCCUUUUUUAAUUCUGGUCUCAAAUCAGGUAGGAUCACCCGCUGAACUUAAGCAUAU